RNAcentral lists this ribosomal RNA (254 nucleotides) under uncultured bacterium. RNAcentral's name for it is "partial 16S ribosomal RNA". It matches the Rfam family "Bacterial small subunit ribosomal RNA", at positions 524 to 776 of the family's 1533-position model. The record is from RNAcentral.
UACGUAGGGUGCGAGCGUUGUCCGGAAUUAUUGGGCGUAAAGAGCUUGUAGGCGGUUUGUCGCGUCUGCCGUGAAAGCCCAGGGCUUAACCCUGGGUCUGCGGUGGGUACGGGCAGACGUAGAGUGUGGUAGGGGAGAUUGGAAUUCCUGGUGUAGCGGUGGAAUGCGCAGAUAUCAGGAGGAACACCGAUGGCGAAGGCGGCGACCUGGGUAGAUACUGACGCUGAGGUGCGAAAGCGUGGGGAGCAAACAGG